Molecule: long non-coding RNA, 1365 nt
Filed under: Equus asinus (donkey)
Lineage: Eukaryota; Metazoa; Chordata; Mammalia; Perissodactyla; Equidae
Description: lncRNA (ENSEASG00005011796.2)
Source: RNAcentral
CGCUGACAUAUGACUAACCGAGAAGCUCCUCCCCACAACAGUUGUAUGUCAUCUGCUUCAGAGAACUAAUUGCUUGGCAAUUCCCCUUUGGUCACAGAGAGUGCUGGUGGACAUCUCCUCUUGCCCCAAGAUCUUCGUUGGAAGUCCACGGGACUUGGUGUCUUUGCCGUUCAAAGUGUAUAUGAACUCUCCAGGAGGCAUAAUGCGUCACCAUUUUAUUCUGGGCCACCCUAAAGGAUGACACCCAGCUUCAGAGACCUCCUCUUGGACUUCACCCCUGAGAACCAGUGGUUUAGCUCUCCCGUUGUCUGAAAUCUGUUUCCGACUGAUUUUCAGCUGGCUCAGGCUUAGUCAUUAAAUGGCCAGGACAAUGUUGAAUAUUCUACUUGAUCAGCUUGCAGCUGUACACCUUUUGUCACUUUCAGAGCAGCAACUCCCUCUUCAGCUCUUGUCAGUCUUUACAUAGAUAUGCUAGAAAACAGGCACCAAUCCAUUCUUUCCAUCUUGGCGUUUGCCCACAGGCAUAGUCCUGGGAUGACCUGGAGUAAAGGCAGCAGAGGAUAAAUUCAUCUUGCACAGACUUGUUCCUGCUCGUUCUGGCCUGUCUCUCCCCACAGAUCUAGCUUUUAAAUACUCAAGUGAUUGGUUUUGUGUAGGAAUGUGUGGAUUGUUGGGUUGGAAUAAUUUUCUCUCUGGAUUGCUAGUGUUUACAUAAGCAGAUAUAAAAAAAGGUUCUAUCACGGAUUUACAUAGCAGGCUUAUUUCAAAAAGUUACAGGUGCUUACCAAUGGCACAGAAUAAAAAUGUAAUUUUUUUUAUUACAAGUUGUAACAAAACCAAAAGGUGUAUAUUGAUUUGUGUCAGGAAAGGGUCAAAACUGAAAAUUUGCAACAAAGUCAAACCAGAACAGAGCAAGAGCAAACAGAAGCUGACAAAUAUAUGCCCCUUGUUGGGAGUUCAGCCCAUGGAAUGUUAUGUAGGACAAAAGGAAUGGAAGAGAUAUUUCAGUAACAUUUUGUUCUCUGUCAAAAACCUUCUGAAGUAUAAAUCUGCUGUGUAUUGGAGAAAGGAUACAGCAAUUGAUUCAAGUUGAAUAGCUUUCAUUUAACUAGAAAUUCCCACAGAAAGCCGUUCUUGUUCUGACAACCAUAUUUUUGCUUUCCUUGACUUAAAGAAAAUUGAAUUCAUGUUUACAUAUCUUAUAGGAUUGUUUUAUAGACAAAGACACAGGUCAAAUCCCAUCCCAGCAUGGUGGCUAUUGUUAUAGCAAACAGAAACAUUUCUAAAUGAAAUAAAAACAUUUCUAAGCCACGGCCUGUGGCCCUAGUAAUAAGACUAGGUUGAUAUUAUGAAACCAUUUGCAAC